RNA transcript from Quercus robur (English oak), 1228 nucleotides. It is a transcript of the gene named protein LIGHT-DEPENDENT SHORT HYPOCOTYLS 10-like, with no coding region annotated. The record is from RefSeq and is a predicted model, not a curated record. The transcript is spliced from 3 exons. NCBI's taxonomy places the organism in Eukaryota, Viridiplantae, Streptophyta, Magnoliopsida, Fagales, Fagaceae.
ACUUAAUAGGACCCAUAUCCCAUACCAUGUCUCCUCAUUAGACCCAUGAUGUGAUUUUCAAAUUUUUUUCACCCACUAAAUAUUUUGUUCUCUUCUCUCUACCCUUAUAUAUCUCUUGCUUUUCUUUCUGGAAAAAAAAAAAUAAGAGAGAGAAAAAUUACUAGAAAUUUAAUAUUGUGCUGCUAGCUAGCUAGCCCUGAUCGAUGUCAAGCAGCAACAAAGGCAAAGAUGUAGCAGAAGGAUCAUCAAGAUCAUCUUCUGCUUCUGUUGCUGGAGCUGGAGGUGGUAGCGGUAGCGGUAGUGGUAGCGGUGAUCUGCAUAAUCAUCAGCAACAACAGGCACCUCCACUUAGCCGCUAUGAGUCACAGAAGAGGCGCGACUGGAACACGUUUGGUCAGUACCUGAGGAACCAAAGGCCUCCAGUGGCACUUUCACAGUGCAACUCCAAUCAUGUGCUUGAUUUUCUGCGCUAUUUAGAUCAGUUUGGAAAGACAAAGGUGCACUUACAAGGGUGUGUGUUUUUUGGUCAGCCUGAGCCUCCAGGGCCUUGCACUUGCCCACUCAGACAAGCAUGGGGUAGCCUUGAUGCACUCAUCGGUCGCCUUAGAGCUGCUUUUGAAGAAAAUGGUGGCUUGCCUGAGGCCAACCCAUUUGCAAGUGGUACUAUCCGAGUUUACUUGCGUGAUGUAAGGGACUCCCAAGCUAAGGCUCGUGGAAUUCCUUAUAAGAAGAAAAAGAAGAAGAGAAAUCCAAUAUUGAAGCCCAGCAACCAUGAUGAUAAUUCCAACUUUCCUAUGCAGUAGUCAUCUCUAUCUGGGUAUUCCCUUCCCCUUCCUUUCCUGUCCCAUCAAAAUAUGUUUAAGUGUCUAAUGAAGACAAUAGACACACACACAAGUCGCUAAAUAAUUAAUUCCCAGGUCAUGAACUCUCCACCAUGUUUUGAAGCUCUACUGAACUGGAGAUUAUAACUCUAUUCAAGUCUUCCUUGGAUCAAGUCCUUUGAUGUUUUUAUAUAGCUCAAGCACUGUAUUUAUUGUUUGAAUGACAAUUAUAGCUAGCAAUGAAGUUGGUGAAGAAAAACUGAAUGAGCUGGGUAAGUUCCUAUCUUUUAUCCACGUUUUUUGUAGGUUAAUCGGUACAUUUUCAAUGUAGUAAACUUUAUACCAUGAACUAGCUAUCUCCCAAGUUUAUGUUUAUUGAUGCAUAUAUAUGCCAUCCUUUAAAUUAA